This 71-nucleotide transfer RNA is filed under the name Magnisudis atlantica (duckbill barracudina). RNAcentral describes it as "tRNA-Gln". It matches the Rfam family "tRNA". From Rfam's summary of the family: Transfer RNA (tRNA) molecules are approximately 80 nucleotides in length. Their secondary structure includes four short double-helical elements and three loops (D, anti-codon, and T loops). Lineage: Eukaryota; Metazoa; Chordata; Actinopteri; Aulopiformes; Paralepididae. RNAcentral also lists the same sequence under 2 other names. The record is from RNAcentral.
UAGGAAGUGGUGUAGUGGGAGCACUAAGAGUUUUGAUCUCUUCAGUUUGGGUUCGAACCCCUACUUUCUAA